Molecule: ribosomal RNA, 103 nt
Filed under: Acanthosepion pharaonis
Lineage: Eukaryota; Metazoa; Mollusca; Cephalopoda; Sepiida; Sepiidae
Source: RNAcentral
UAUGGCCACAUCGCGUUGAAACACAGGUUUCCAUACGAUCAACGAAGUUAAGCAAUGUCGAGCCUGGUCUGUACCUAGUUUGGUGACCGCUUGGGAAUACCAG